UCCAUAGGGUGCAAGCGUUGUCCGGAAUUAUUGGGCGUCCAGAGCUCGUAGGUGGUUCGUUACGUCGGAUGUGAAACUCUGGGGCUCAACCCCAGACCUGCAUUCGAUACGGGCGAACUAGAGUGUGGUAGGGGAGACUGGAAUUCCUGGUGUAGCGGUGGAAUGCGCAGAUAUCAGGAGGAACACCAAUGGCGAAGGCAGGGCUAUGGGCCAUUACUGACACUGAGGAGCGAAAGCGUGGGGAGCGAACAGG
This 253-nucleotide ribosomal RNA is filed under the name uncultured bacterium. RNAcentral's name for it is "partial 16S ribosomal RNA". It matches the Rfam family "Bacterial small subunit ribosomal RNA", at positions 524 to 776 of the family's 1533-position model. The record is from RNAcentral.